UAUAGCCACACCACCCUGAACACGCCCAAUCUCGUCUGACCUUGGACGCUAAGCAGGGUCGGGCCUGGUUAGUACUUGGAUGGGAGGAAGAUCAUCCAGCCUGGUUAUCU
This 110-nucleotide ribosomal RNA is filed under the name Neogale vison (American mink). Lineage: Eukaryota; Metazoa; Chordata; Mammalia; Carnivora; Mustelidae. The record is from RNAcentral.